GGAGGGCGCGAGCGUUGUCCGGAAUUACUGGGCGUAAAGGGGGCGCAGGCGGCUAGGUAAGUCCUAUGUGAAAGCCCACGGCCUCAACCGUGGGAAAGCCAUAGGGAUACGUGCCAGGCUAGAGACGGGUAGAGGCGAGUGGAAUUCCCGGUGUAGCGGUAGGAAUGCGUAGAUAUCGGGAAGAACACCAGUGGCGAAGGCGACUCGCUGGGCCCGUUCUGACGCUCAGGCCCGAAAGCGUGGGGAGCAAACAGGAUUAGAUACCCUGGUAGUCCACGCCGUAAACGAUGGGCACUAGGUGCCCGGGAAGUUGGUGACCCCUUUUCGGUGCCGAAGCUAACGCGUUAAGUGCCCCCGCUGGGGAUACGGCCGCAAGGGCUG
RNAcentral lists this ribosomal RNA (381 nucleotides) under uncultured organism. Its description in RNAcentral is "partial 16S ribosomal RNA". It matches the Rfam family "Bacterial small subunit ribosomal RNA", at positions 527 to 896 of the family's 1533-position model. The record is from RNAcentral.